RNAcentral lists this transfer RNA (71 nucleotides) under Patescibacteria group bacterium. Its description in RNAcentral is "tRNA-Gly". It matches the Rfam family "tRNA". From Rfam's summary of the family: Transfer RNA (tRNA) molecules are approximately 80 nucleotides in length. Their secondary structure includes four short double-helical elements and three loops (D, anti-codon, and T loops). The record is from RNAcentral.
GCGGGAUUAGUUAAAUGGUAUAACGACAGUUUUCCAAACUGUAGUCGGGAGUCCGAUUCUCCCAUCCCGCA